UACAGAGGGUGCGAGCGUUAAUCGGAAUUACUGGGCGUAAAGCGUGCGUAGACGGUCGUGCAAGUCGGGUGUGAAAGCCCCAGGCUCAACCUGGGAAUUGCAUUCGAGACUGCUCGGCUAUGGUGCGGAAGAGGGAAGCGGAAUUUCCGGUGUAGCGGUGAAAUGCGUAGAUAUCGGAAGGAACACCAGUGGCGAAAGCGGCUUCCUGGUCCGACCCCGACGUUCAGGCAAGAAAGCGUGGGGAGCAAACAGG
Molecule: ribosomal RNA, 253 nt
Filed under: uncultured bacterium
Lineage: Bacteria
Description: partial 16S ribosomal RNA
Rfam family: Bacterial small subunit ribosomal RNA
Source: RNAcentral